RNAcentral lists this ribosomal RNA (253 nucleotides) under uncultured bacterium. RNAcentral's name for it is "partial 16S ribosomal RNA". It matches the Rfam family "Bacterial small subunit ribosomal RNA", at positions 524 to 776 of the family's 1533-position model. The record is from RNAcentral.
UACGGAGGGGGCUAGCGUUGUUCGGAAUUACUGGGCGUAAAGCGCGCGUAGGCGGCUUUGUAAGUUAGAGGUGAAAGCCCGGAGCUUAACUCCGGAACUGCCUUUAAGACUGCAUCGCUUGAAUCGUGGAGAGGUGAGUGGAAUUCCGAGUGUAGAGGUGAAAUUCGUAGAUAUUCGGAAGAACACCAGUGGCGAAGGCGGCUCACUGGCCCGGUACUGACGCUGAGGUGCGAAAGCGUGGGGAGCAAACAGG